GGGGCGAUGGCGGCGCGGGGCGCCGAGGCCGAGGCGCUGUUCGAGGCCCACACGGCGGCCGAGCUGCGGGCGGUGGAGCGGCGGCUGCGCGCCGGCAUCGAGCAGAAGCGGGAGGAGCUGCGGCAGAUGGUGGGCGAGCGCUACCGCGACCUCAUCGAGGCGGCCGACACCAUCGCCGAGAUGCGGCGCAGCGCCGAGCGCCUGCUGGGCGCCGUGCGGGGGCUGCAGCGGGGCGGCUCGGCCCGGCCCGAGCCCCCGGCCACGGUUCGCCCCCCGGCCCAGCGCGGGUUCUAUGGGGCGGCGGCUCAGCUGAAGCUGCUGCUGGAGGUGCCGGAGCAGGUCUGGGGGGCGGUGGAGGGGGGUCGGUACCUCCCGGCCGCCCGGCUCCACCUGCUGGGCGCCCACCUGCGCCGGCAGCUCCAGCUGGACGCCCCCCGCGCCCGGAGCAGCCCCGUCCUCGCCCGGUUCCCCAUCCUGCUGCGCCAGGUGGCCGCUGCCAGCCACCUCAGAUCCACCAUCCUGCAGGAGAGCAAGGCCCUGCUGCGGUCGCGGGCGGUGUCGGACCAGGCGGUGGCCGAGGCCCUGUGUGCCAUCAUGCUGCUGGAGGACAGCUCCCCACGCCAGGCCCUGGCUGACUUCCUCCUGGCCAGGAAAAUGGCCAUCCAGCAGCUGCUCAACCAGCCACACCACGGUGCAGGUAUCAAGGCUCAGGUGUGUUCCCUGAUGGAGCUGCUCACCACCACCCUGUACCAGGCUCACGCUCUGUUCUACACCGUGCCUGAGGGGAUGUCCCCGGACCCAGCCCUGCCCUGUGGGUUGCUCUUCUCCACCCUGGAGAGCACCACAGGCCAGCACCCUGCAGGCAGAGGGGGGGUUCUGGAGGAGGACUUGAAGCUGAGCAGCUGGUUCAAGUACCUGCCAGAGUCCGUGGUGGAAUUCCAGCCAGCCCUGCGGACCCUGGCACACCCCAUCAGCCAGGAGCACCUCAGGGAGACCCUGCAGCAGUGGAUCAGCAUGUGCAGUGAUGACAUCAGGGCCGGGGUCAGCAGCCUGCUGGUGUACGUGAGGAGCAUGAAGGGGCUGGCAGGGAUCCGAGAUGCCGUGUGGGAGCUGCUCUCCAGCGAGUCAGGCAGCCACAGCUGGGAGGCCAUGUGCCGGCGGCUCCUGGACAGGCCCGUGUCCCUCUGGGAGGACCUGCUGCAGCAGCUCUUCCUGGACAGGCUGCAGACUCUGACCAAAGACGGGUUCGACUCCAUCUCCAGCAGCUCCAAGCAGCUGCUCGCUUUAGCCUUGCAGGAACUGGAAGUCAAACCGGGCAGCUCUGCCCUGAGCAAGCAGAUCCAGCUGGAGCACAACGUGGCGCUGUUCCUGUGGUCGGAGGGCCCCGGGGACCUGCCGGCGGACGCGGCGUGGGUGAGCGUGGGGCAGCGCGGGCCCUUCGCCCGCAGCGGGCUGGCCAUGAAGGCGCAGGCGCUCACGCCGUGCGUGCAGAGCUUCUGCUCGGCCCUGGACUCCAAGCUGAAGGCCAGGCUGGAUGACCUCCUGUCCUACCUCCCCGCGGAGCCCUCGGUGCCCAAGGAGCCGGCGGUGCAGCCGCGCUCUGCCUUCGACCGCUUCGCCGACGCCGGCACCGUGCGGGGGCUGCUGCGUGACCAGUGCGUCGCCUGCGUCCAGCACGUGCUGGGCUGCGUCAGGGAGGAGCUCCAGAGUGCCCAGGGCCUGCUGGGGGGGCAGCUGGGCCCCCCUGGCGAUGCCCGGCUCAACGCCGUCCUGUUCAUGGCCAGGCUGUGCCAGUCCCUGCCCGAGCUGUGCCCUCACCUGCAGCGCUGUGUCCUGGGCCAGGAGGGUGGCACGGACACGGUGCCCAAGGAAACGCGCUCCAACAAGAAGCUGGGGAAGGGGAAGGCCCAGGAAGUGACCCCUGAGCAGGCCAAGUGGCAGGGCCUGAAGGCAGAGCUCCUGCAGCAGAGCCUGUUGGCUUAUCAGAUCUGGAGCUCAGCUGUCACCAAGAGUCUGGUUCAGUGCUUCACCCACACGCUGCUGCUGGACACGGCUGGUUCUGUCCUGGCCACAGCCACCAACUGGGAUGAAAUUGAAAUCCAGGAGGAAACGGAGUCUGGGAGCAGCGUAACGUCAAAGAUCCGGCUGCCUGUGCAGCCCUCCUGGCACGUCCAGUGCCUCCUGUUCAGCCUGUGCCAGGAGGUGAAUCGGGUGGGUGGCCACACUCUUCCCAAGGUGACCCUGCAGGAGCUGCUGAGGACCUGCAUGGCAGAGGUGCUCGCUGCCUACCAAAAGCUCAUGGAACAGAAGCAGGAGAAGAAGGUGGACACCUUCCCCCUGACCCAGACCAGAGCUCUGCAGUUACUCUACGACCUGCGGUACCUCAGCAUCAUCCUGACAGCCAAGGGUGAGGAGGGGAAGCCCAGCAGGAUCAAGCAGGACUCUGGGAUUGAGAAGGUGAUCGACUUCCUGGAGGGACACAUUGAUCCCUUCGACUUGGACGUUUUCACUCCACACCUGAACAGCAACUUGAACCGCCUGGUCCAGAGAACCUCCGUUCUCUUUGGUUUGCUGACGGGGACAGAGAACCAGUACACGAGCCGGAGUGGGGCACUGAGCUCCCAGGAGCUGCACAACAUCCUGCCCUUGGCAUCCAGCCAGAUCAGGUUUGGGCUCCUGCCGCUGAGUAUGUCGAGCUCACGGAAGAGCAAGUCCACUGCCAGGAGCACAGAGCGAGUCCAGGCAAUAAGCACCCUGAAAUGCAGUGAGGAUUUACACAGCUCAGGCAUCUCGAGGGCAAUGCAUCCAAGACAGUUCAUUGAGGAGGGGCUGCAAGAAAGGCUGAAGGACAGUGGCUCAUGACUGAACUCCUUUGCAGUGGGACGCUGCCCUCUAACCCCGAGGAGCCUGGCCUGGUUGCAGCUCCUGUGCUCCCCAGAGAAGACGAGGCCUCUCGCCCGGGCUCCCUGUUCAGGCAGCUCGUCACCGAGGACGAGGAC
Molecule: RNA transcript, 2999 nt
Organism: Corapipo altera (White-ruffed manakin)
Lineage: Eukaryota; Metazoa; Chordata; Aves; Passeriformes; Pipridae
Gene: COG1
Gene name: component of oligomeric golgi complex 1
Exons: 15
Source: RefSeq, a predicted model, not a curated record